RNAcentral lists this ribosomal RNA (497 nucleotides) under uncultured bacterium. RNAcentral describes it as "partial 16S ribosomal RNA". It matches the Rfam family "Bacterial small subunit ribosomal RNA", at positions 28 to 507 of the family's 1533-position model. The record is from RNAcentral.
GAUGAACGCUGGCGGCGUGCCUAAUACAUGCAAGUCGAGCGAACAGACGAGGAGCUUGCUCCUCUGACGUUAGCGGCGGACGGGUGAGUAACACGUGGAUAACCUACCUAUAAGACUGGGAUAACUUCGGGAAACCGGAGCUAAUACCGGAUAAUAUAUUGAACCGCAUGGUUCAAUAGUGAAAGACGGUUUUGCUGUCACUUAUAGAUGGAUCCGCGCCGCAUUAGCUAGUUGGUAAGGUAACGGCUUACCAAGGCAACGAUGCGUAGCCGACCUGAGAGAGUGAUCGGCCGCACUGGAACUGAGACACGGUCCAGACUCCUACGGGAGGCAGCAGUAGGGAAUCGUCCGCAGUGGGCGAAAGCCUGACGGAGCAACGCCGCGUGAGUGAUGAAGGUCUUCGGAUCGUAAAACUCUGUUAUUAGGGAAGAACAAAUGUGUAAGUAACUAUGCACGUCUUGACGGUACCUAAUCAGAAAGCCACGGCUAACUACGUG